GCGACAUUUAUACACAGCGUAGUUAGUAGAGGGGACCUUCUACUAACUAUGUACACAGGAUGUAAACGUUAUUUGGAAGGUGUAAACUUUAUCGUAAAUGAGUCCCUUGUUACUUUUGCAGUGGUGUGUUAUGAAUAAAACUUUGGGAUUGGGUAUUUUGCGGCAGCUACAUGUAGAUAUACAGGAGAUCUAUAAUGGAUUUCCUCCUUUGGGAAAUAAUUUCAAGUUCUGCUCUUACCGUUUGGGACAUCAAGUCAAGUGAAACCUAGGCCCAACUGAGUUUCUGUAGAAUGAAGCGGCUAGGAGUGUUGCUUCUCGCCCCAAGAUGGCAUGAUCACAGGCAAACUGUCCGGUUGCCCCAGCACUGUCUGGUCAGAGCCUUUAAGUGUCUUGCCUGAGGACACGACACAAUGACCCUGGCCAGGGCUCGAGCCCGAAUCUGGAUCACUAGUUCCGCAGCCCAGCACACAAGCCGUAAAAAUAACGAGCGUUUUGCUUGGGGCAUCAAGUAUUUACAGGCAGUUAUAGAGACAUGAAUGAUGAGUCAGUUUUGUGAUAGGAAUUGCCGUCAGAUCAGUUAUAAACUGAAGACAUCUUAAACUCUGACUGUCUCUGGAAAACCAAUUACAUGCAUUAAUUGCACUUUACUGUAUUCUGCAAGUUCUUAGACGUUUUGUAAAAUGUUUGCGUACCCUUUUGUAGAUCCAAGUACCUCCUCAAACAGCGCAAAAUGUAACAAACAAGCAACUACAAGCUGUAAUACUCAAGCACCAUAUCCCAGUUCCCUUCCACCACGGUUUGAAAUGAAGCUAAGCCAGCUGGAAUGGACAUGGAAGAUCCAAGUACCCUGAAGUACCUCUUCAAACAAAGCUCAAAUUGAAACAAAAUCAGCUGUAGUACUCAAGCACCAUAUUACGAGAACCCGGUUGAUUCCUAGUUUGGUGUACGGCAGACGAAAAACUGCUUUCUCAGGGCGACAACGCUUCCAUGGUCAGCAUACAGUACAGCCUUUAAGGCACCGUGUAAUCUACACCGGAAAACGCUUCAUAUGUUUUCCGUCCACACUACGCCGGGUGAAUUUAAAAACACAACAAUCAUCUGUCAUUUUGGAUUUGUGUUUG
This is a long non-coding RNA of Orbicella faveolata, 1121 nucleotides long. The record is from RefSeq and is a predicted model, not a curated record. NCBI's taxonomy places the organism in Eukaryota, Metazoa, Cnidaria, Anthozoa, Scleractinia, Merulinidae.